RNAcentral lists this ribosomal RNA (497 nucleotides) under uncultured bacterium. Its description in RNAcentral is "partial 16S ribosomal RNA". It matches the Rfam family "Bacterial small subunit ribosomal RNA", at positions 28 to 507 of the family's 1533-position model. The record is from RNAcentral.
GAUGAACGCUGGCGGCGUGCCUAAUACAUGCAAGUCGAGCGAACGGACGAGAAGCUUGCUUCUCUGAUGUUAGCGGCGGACGGGUGAGUAACACGUGGAUAACCUACCUAUAAGACUGGGAUAACUUCGGGAAACCGGAGCUAAUACCGGAUAAUAUUUUGAACCGCAUGGUUCAAAAGUGAAAGACGGUCUUGCUGUCACUUAUAGAUGGAUCAGCGCUGCAUUAGCUAGUUGGUAAGGUAACGGCUUACCAAGGCAACGAUGCAUAGCCGACCUGAGAGGGGGAUCGGCCACACUGGAACUGAGACACGGUCCAGACUCCUACGGGAGGCAGCAGUAGCGAAUCUUCCGCAAUGGGCGAAAGCCUGACAGAGCAACGCGGCGUGAGUGAUGAAGGUCUUCGGAUCGUAAAACUCUGUUAUUAGGGAAGAACAGAUGUGUAAGUAACUGUGCACAUCUUGACGGUACCUAAUCAGAAAGCCACGGCUAACUACGUG